RNAcentral lists this ribosomal RNA (403 nucleotides) under bacterium. Its description in RNAcentral is "partial 16S ribosomal RNA". It matches the Rfam family "Bacterial small subunit ribosomal RNA", at positions 355 to 776 of the family's 1533-position model. The record is from RNAcentral. RNAcentral also lists the same sequence under 2 other names.
UGGGGAAUAUUGCACAAUGGAGGGAACUCUGAUGCAGCGACGCCGCGUGAACGAAGAAGGCUUUCGAGUCGUAAAGUUCUUUUAUAUGGGAAGAUAAUGACGGUACCAUAAGAAAAAGCCCCGGCUAACUACGUGCCAGCAGCCGCGGUAAUACGUAGGGGGCUGGCGUUGUCCGGAAUCACUGGGCGUAAAGGGUUCGCAGGCGGAAAUGCAAGUCAGGUGUAAAAGGCAGUAGCUUAACUACUGUAAGCAUUUGAAACUGCAUAUCUUGAGAAGAGUAGAGGUAAGUGGAAUUUUUAGUGUAGCGGUGAAAUGCGUAGAUAUUAAAAAGAAUACCGGUGGCGAAGGCGACUUACUGGGCUCAUUCUGACGCUGAGGAACGAAAGCGUGGGUAGCAAACAGG